Molecule: non-coding RNA, 1139 nt
Organism: Pelobates cultripes (western spadefoot toad)
Lineage: Eukaryota; Metazoa; Chordata; Amphibia; Anura; Pelobatidae
Source: the annotation of a GenBank genome assembly
UUUUUGGAAACUAAUGAUGCAAUGAAUGAAUGGUGUCAACUUAAAAAGACCAGUAAUUGUUAUGUAUGUAGUACAACAAAACAAAAAAGGGAUGUUUUGUUAAAACAACUGAAAAAUGUAUGUGUUGUCACAAGGACUAGUUAUUUCCCUAGCCCCCCCAGCAAAACUGUGAAAUCUCCACAAAAGCUGUUAACAGAAUGGAGAUUGCCCCCAAGGCUCUCUUUUGAUAGUGACUUGGAAUCCACGUUAACUGAAACAAAAACUCAAAUAGAAAAUUCUCGGCAAUUGUUGAAAAGUUUUAGUAGGGAUCAAGAAAAUGAAGAUAUUAAUAUAAUGAAAGAAAUGCUUAGAAAUCAGACUGAUUUGUUGGAUAGAACCCAUAAAACCCUGUCUCACAUGUCUAAAGAAUUAGACAUAAAUGUUACUAAUUUUGACAAUUUGCAGAGACAGAUUACUAAUCUGGGUAGUGCUACAGAUAUUUUGUGGAAAGCUACAAAUCAGAAAGAUUUGGAUUUUACUUUGAAAGUGAAAGUGAAAAUGAAAUAGCUCAAAGGUUAAGUUGUGAAAACGGGCAGGCGAGAAGUGAAAUAGAAAAUAAAUUGGGAAAUGUACAAGGAAAGGGUCAGUUGGAUAUUCUCAAAUUGGCUAAAUUGAUUAAGGAUUUGCCUAAAUAUGAUGAAAAGAGAGGACCUUUUUACAAUAUGAGUGUUUUUGAAGGUGAAAUGAAUAAAAGACAAUUUGAUGAUGUGGUAGCCACAAGAGGUCUUUUGAUCUGGCUGCCAACUUCAUUAAGUGAAUGGGUUAAAGUUAAACUCAUUGAUGUGUUGGAAGGGAAGUCAAGUGAAAAGCCCCGAGUUGAGUUGGAGGAAUUGUUUCCAAAUAAUACACAGAGAUUGCUAAUGGUGGUACAGUGUGCAACUGGUGUGGAGAAUUUUCAAUUUUCUACUCUUGAUUCAUUUAAAAUGGAAAAAAAUGAUGAUAUACGUGUUUGUGCUAAUUUGUGGAAUAAGGCAUGGAAUUUGAUUACUGAUACAGAACCAUCUGCUAUGUCUAAAGAACAACAUAAGCAGAGUGUUACUGAAUUUGUCUCUAGAAUAGCAGGGUUGCCAAAUGAGAUAAAAUUAAGAGCUUUUGAUUCA